Molecule: ribosomal RNA, 301 nt
Filed under: uncultured bacterium
Lineage: Bacteria
Description: partial 16S ribosomal RNA
Rfam family: Bacterial small subunit ribosomal RNA
Source: RNAcentral
CAGUCGCCGCGGUAAUACGUAGGGUGCAAGCGUUAAUCGGAAUUACUGGGCGUAAAGCGUGCGCAGGCGGCUCGCUAAGACAGAUGUGAAAUCCCCGGGCUUAACCUGGGAACUGCAUUUGUGACUGGCGGGCUAGAGUAUGGCUGAGGGGGGUAGAAUCCCACGUGUAGCAGUGAAAUGCGUAGAGAUGUGGAGGAAUACCGAUGGCGAAGGCAGCCCCCUGGGCCAAUACUGACGCUCAUGCACGAAAGCGUGGGGAGCAAACAGGAUUAGAUACCCGAGUAGUCCCUGUCUCUUAUAC